This 267-nucleotide long non-coding RNA is filed under the name Gossypium barbadense (sea-island cotton). RNAcentral's name for it is "long non-coding RNA (GBAR_LNC013998)". Lineage: Eukaryota; Viridiplantae; Streptophyta; Magnoliopsida; Malvales; Malvaceae. The record is from RNAcentral.
CCUCAGCCAUCUUUGUGAUCAACACCGUAGACGCUAAGCACGCACACAAGAUGAAGUUGACGAUAGCCCACAGGUUCUUGACCCCACCGAUCAACCGCCCUGCAGGCUCUAACCCCAGUGAAGUCAACCCCAAGACGAUGGAGUUAAUCAUCAACCCUAGUGCACCAGCUCGAACCCCAUCACCGUAAAGCUUAACUUUAUGUGCAUCUCCCUUGGCUUCCCCACCGUAAAUCUCUUUCCCCAUCCAGUCAGUGUCGAACAACAAGA